CUCAAAAUGUCCAGUUUAUCAAAAAACCUUGAGCUGUGUACUGGGGACCAUCUACUAUAGCCUGAUCAUGGAAUUUUUCAAGAACCUAAGGGGUUCCCUAAGUCCAAGGAAGACAAUCAGUGUCUACAAGUCAGAAGGAGAAGGGGAAAGGACAUUCUAAUCAUUGCUUUGUUUUCAUUGAUUCUGUUGCUGCUUUCUUACCAUUGAAAG
This 210-nucleotide long non-coding RNA is filed under the name Homo sapiens (human). RNAcentral describes it as "LHRI_LNC499.1". The record is from RNAcentral. Lineage: Eukaryota; Metazoa; Chordata; Mammalia; Primates; Hominidae.